This 738-nucleotide non-coding RNA is filed under the name Pongo abelii (Sumatran orangutan). Lineage: Eukaryota; Metazoa; Chordata; Mammalia; Primates; Hominidae. The record is from RNAcentral.
UUGCUGCGCAGGACCCCUUGAAAAAAAAUGAGGACCCGUCUUUUUUAGGUCACAAGAUUGCGCCAACCCUCACAUGGUCCUUAAAAAAAAAACCUUCUGACACUGCAGUAGUGAAAAUGAAGUGCACGAUGGGCGGAAGCUAGGAAGACACUUAAAGAUGAAGUGCUUAAUUCAAGGUCACAGAAUGUCGGGGAUGGACCUCCAGAUUUCCUUACUGACCUGCAUUAUCUUGUGGAUACCUGAGUGAAUUCCACACCACCCAUUUUAUAGAUGAAGCCACUGAGACGUGGAGCAACUGACUGAGUAGUCACUGCCCCACCCCUGCCUGGAGCCUCACACAUGACUUCUCUUAGUGACCACAGGUGAGACGUGGUCUUGUAACACAGUGGUUAAGAAUGUGACUUUGGAGCCAGCCUGCUAGGGGCUGAAUUCUGACUCAGCCAUUUAUUAACUGUGUGACCUUAGUCCUAGUCUAGUAACUGGUAUUGUCAUAAGAAGAGAGGGACACAGAGGGAAGUUGGCCACAUGAAGAUGGAGGUAGAGAUUGCAGUUAUGCUGCUGCAAACUAAGGAAUGGCUCUGGCCCUCCAAAGAUUGCUGAUAACCACCAGAAACUAGAAGAGACAAGGAAGGAUUCUUCCCUAGAGCCUUCAGAGGGAGCAUGGCCCUACUGACACCUGGAUUUCAGACUUGUAGCUUCCUAAACUGCAAGAGAUUAAAUUUCUGUUGUUUUAAGCCA